CGGAAGCAAUGAAGCCAGCGUUGGCUUCCUGCCGAUCCGGUGUUCCUCGUAUGUCCCCGGGAAGAUAUCCUCGGUGGGUCGUCAAGCGGCAUGUGACCGGCUCCUUGUGGGUCGAUUCGAGUUCCUCUCUCCCCAGUGCCGGCAUAAAAAGAGUUGCAGUUUAGUUGGUUCGCUGGCUUUGCUAAGUAGCUCACUUGUUGCCAUCAGAAUUUUCCUGUAUUUGAAAACCCUGUCAAUGUCAGCAAGGAGGUUAGCUGAUGAUUGCUUUUUAAUCGAAGGAUGUCCAAGGUGGAGUUUGGUUAGGGGGACUUGUUUGAUGCAGACAGCUUGAUUCCACAAUGAUGCCAGAUCACAGUGAGGAAUGAUUCCAUCGAGGAAUAGAUGCAACUCUGUCCAUGUGAACCAAAUAGAGCUGCAUUCGGUCCGUGGAUUGGAAAAUCACUGAUCCUCUUCGAAUUGGCUUCUCAAAUAAAGUAUUUGCAGUGGCUUUCACAGGAAAGGAAUAUCCUUUUCCUGCACGAAUGGGUUGGUGUGGGCCAAUCAAACUCCAGGAUUUUUGUCUUUCAACACACACUAGUUCGUAUGAGUACCUUGAGCAGGAUGAGGCGUUUGGUCAUGUGUUUCACAGAGGAACUCUGAAUGAACGAUCCAAAAUCGGCUUGCUCAAAAUAAUGUUUCACCCGGGUGUAGGACAGGGUUCAUGAUGUUUAACAUGCCCCGCUUAAUCCGUAGUCAUGGAAAUUCAUUCCGGAAGCUCACCGAAAAUUUCAAGUGUCGGGUCGACAUCAUCAAGUAUUGGAUCCUUGCAAACCUGUCAUGAGGAAUGAUUGUACUUGAGGACCUCACAGUGGUAACUUGGUGAAAGGUCAUGAUGAUGGAUGGAGUCGGUGUCCUUGUGAAAGAUAUUUGAUAAUGCUGUCACAUCCUGCCUUGGAAUUCGAUGCUUAUCAGAUGUACGUGAAGAUGGAGAAUACAUCACCAGAGGUCCAGACUAUGUAGAAUCAAAAAGCAAGCACUGGAAGAAGAAACGAAUGGCAGCUGGACUUCGCUGGUGAAGAAGAGGACGAUUCACGUGGCGAAGGCUGACAUAGACACAUAUGCACUCACCGUAGACCUUGCCUCUCGGGGUACCACGGUGCAAGGGCACCAAAAAAAAAAAAAAAAAAAUCCAAGGUAAAAGCUUAUGUGCAGAAAUAAUAAAGUGGAUCGCCAGGCACCAUCACAGAACCUUUGCAGUGCAUUCCAACAUAACCAUGCAUGGAAUCAGGCAGAUGGAGCCUGCAGCCUCCUCUUGCAAAUCAUUCACUAAUACCUACUUACAUACAGACAGCAACAUCCAGACAACCAUUUAUCUUUUCCCUACACUCACUCGUUUGUUUACUGGCCCCGGUGAUCCGGAGUCGAAUUAUUCAACAGUCCCAAGAGAUACUCCUUUGAUUCCUCCAUUUCUUUAUCUUUAGCAUUAUUGUGGCUCA
Long non-coding RNA from Musa acuminata AAA Group (dessert banana), 1475 nucleotides. RefSeq lists it as uncharacterized. The record is from RefSeq and is a predicted model, not a curated record. The transcript has 7 exons. Lineage: Eukaryota; Viridiplantae; Streptophyta; Magnoliopsida; Zingiberales; Musaceae.